Molecule: transfer RNA, 89 nt
Filed under: Plenodomus lingam JN3
Lineage: Eukaryota; Fungi; Ascomycota; Dothideomycetes; Pleosporales; Leptosphaeriaceae
Description: tRNA-Asn for anticodon GUU
Rfam family: tRNA
About the family: Transfer RNA (tRNA) molecules are approximately 80 nucleotides in length.
Source: Rfam by way of RNAcentral
UCCUCCGUGGCGCAAUUGGCUAGCGCGUUCGACUGUUAUGCAAACAUGGCAAUAUCGAGAGGUUGGAAGUUCGAGCCUUCCCGGGGGAG